CCUACGGGGUGCAGCAGUGAGGAAUAUUGGUCAAUGGCCGAGAGGCUGAACCAGCCAAGUCGCGUGAGGGAAGACGGCCCUACGGGUUGUCAACCUCUUUUGUCGGGGAGCAAAGCGAGUCACGUGUGACUCAUUGAGAGUACCCGAAUAAAAAGCAUCGGCUAACUCCGUGCCAGCAGCCGCGGUAAUACGGAGGAUGCGAGCGUUAUCCGGAUUUAUUGGGUUUAAAGGGUGCGCAGGGGGAGGUGCAAGUCAGCGGUCAAAUUGCGGGGCUCAACCCCGUACUGCCGUUGAAACUGCAUGCCUUGAGUGCGCGAGAAGUAUGCGGAAUGCGUGGUGUAGCGGUGAAAUGCAUAGAUAUCACGCAGAACUCCGAUUGCGAAGGCAGCAUACCGGCGCGCAACUGACGCUCAUGCACGAAAGCGUGGGUAUCGAACAGGAUUAGAUACCCUGGUAGUC
This 459-nucleotide ribosomal RNA is filed under the name uncultured bacterium. RNAcentral's name for it is "partial 16S ribosomal RNA". It matches the Rfam family "Bacterial small subunit ribosomal RNA", at positions 338 to 795 of the family's 1533-position model. The record is from RNAcentral.